Molecule: ribosomal RNA, 397 nt
Filed under: uncultured bacterium
Lineage: Bacteria
Description: partial 16S ribosomal RNA
Rfam family: Bacterial small subunit ribosomal RNA
Source: RNAcentral
AUACGUAGGUGGCAAGCGUUGUCCGGAAUUAUUGGGCGUAAAGCGCGCGCAGGUGGUUCCUUAAGUCUGAUGUGAAAGCCCCCGGCUCAACCGGGGAGGGUCAUUGGAAACUGGGGAACUUGAGUGCAAAAGAGGAUAGUGGAAUUCCAAGUGUAGCGGUGAAAUGCGUAGAGAUUUGGAGGAACACCAGUGGCGAAGGCGACUGUCUGGUCUGUAACGGACACUGAGGCGCGAAAGCGUGGGGAGCAAACAGGAUUAGAGCCCCUGGUAGUCCACGCCGUAAACGAUGAGUGCUAAGUGUUGGGGGGUUUCCGCCCCUCAGUGCUGCAGCUAACGCAUUAAGCACUCCGCCUGGGGAGUACGGUCGCAAGACUGAAACUCAAAGGAAUUGACGGGG